RNAcentral lists this ribosomal RNA (368 nucleotides) under uncultured bacterium. RNAcentral describes it as "bacterial SSU rRNA". It matches the Rfam family "Bacterial small subunit ribosomal RNA", at positions 403 to 769 of the family's 1533-position model. The record is from RNAcentral.
GAAGGAUGAAGGUCCUCUGGAUUGNAAACUUCUUUUAUCUGGGACGAAAACGGGAUUUUUAUCUCAAUUGACGGUACCAGAGGAAUAAGCACCGGCUAACUCCGUGCCAGCAGCCGCGGUAAUACGGAGGGUGCGAGCGUUAUCCGGAUUUACUGGGUUUAAAGGGUGCGUAGGUGGGCUUAUAAGUCAGUGGUGAAAUCUCCGAGCUUAACUUGGAAUCUGCCGUUGAUACUAUAGGUCUUGAAUUAUCUGGAGGUAAGCGGGAUAUGUCAUGUAGCGGUGAAAUGCUUAGAUAUGACAUAGAACACCAAUUGCGAAGGCAGCUUACUACAUAUAAAUUGAUGCUGAGGCACGAAAGCGUGGGGAUC